AGCUCCAAUAGCGUAUAUUAAAGUUGUUGCGGUUAAAAAGCUCGUAGUUGGAUUUCUGUUGAGGUCGGGCGGUGUACGCUUCGCGUAUUAUUUGCUUCGGUCUCGGCAUCCUCUUGGGGAACGCUCGGGACUUUAUUGGACCGCCGGAAUUCAAGACUUUUACUUUGAGGAAAUUAGAGUGUUCACGGCAGGCAAGUGCUUUGAAUACAUUAGCAUGGAAUAAUAAUAUAGGACCUUCGUUCUAUUUUGUUGGUUUCUAGAACUUAGGUAAUGAUUAACAGGGACAAUUGGGGGCAUUCGUAUUAACGCGUCAGAGGUGGAAUUCUUGGAUUGCGUUACGACGAACUACUGCGAAAGCAUUUGCCAAAGAUGUUU
Molecule: ribosomal RNA, 375 nt
Filed under: uncultured eukaryote
Lineage: Eukaryota
Description: SSU rRNA
Rfam family: Eukaryotic small subunit ribosomal RNA
Source: RNAcentral